UCAGUUUCCUGGGACUGCAAGGAGAGCACUUCUGUCCUUUCUUUUCAUUAAAUGGUAGAUAGAAAGUGAAUCAUAUAUUUGCCUUUGCAGCUGCCCCCCAGAGACAACAGACAAACCUGCAUUUUGAAAAUUUUCUUUAAUUCCUGUUCCUCUCUGCUGCUUGCACUGGAUUGAGUUUUGUAUGCCAGGGGAAGGAUCCAGUCUAGAGUGAGAAGCUACAGUUCAGUCUGGUUCCUUGGAUAAUGGAGUUUAGAAUGUGGUGGGAAACCAUGUCAAAGGCCUUCUUAAAGAUGACCGGAAGAUGACAUCCACCCUGACACCCUCAUCCAGGGACUUUGUGACCUGAUCAUAAAAAGAAACCAGGUAAAAGUGCCUCCUACUGGUGUUGUAACGAAAGUUUGACACUUUAAACAAGAAAAAAGUGGUGGAGCAGAUGGAUGAAGAAGGCAUACUUCUCAAUGGCUGCAAAGGCAGACUAAGUAACCCCAGAUGUCUUGGAUCCCCUUGCCUUGACACCGGUUUCUUCUCUGCCGAGAUCCAUGCAGUUACCAAUGCGCAAAAGUUUCCUGACAUAAAACAAGUCAUGCACAGGCUUCUCCCACUGGAUCCAUCAUCUACCACGAUAACCAAUCACCGAUAAAAGAAACAAGACUGAGAAACCUGCAGUCUGACCCUCCCUUUAACCACCACCUGUGGUGUUUGCCAAAGAGUCUGCAGCACAAGGAUUGGCCUUAGCCAUCAAUAGACUAAUUUACAACCCUUUACUUGACCCAUGAGGGUGACCAUCCUCAACUGUGAAGGAUUGCUGCUGACAGCAACUCAUUUCUGAGUAUUUGAUUUUGCAAUCUUCAUGCUCCUGUAGCAUGUUUUUUUGGUAAAAUAUAAAAUACAUAGAUGGGUGUAUGGUUUUUAUAUGCUUAAUAAAAAAUGCCCAGAACAGUUCCUAUGUAUCAUUUGCAGGGAAAUGUGUCUUUCUCAUGCUAUCAUUCAUUAUUUGUCCUACAUAAACUCAGGACAAUGUGUUUAAGGGUAAUGGGUCAUUUAGUUUCAUUGUAGACAGCACUUAAUAGCUAUAAAGAUGCAUUCUCUUUUAUUUAAUUAAGAUGAUGAAUUUUUAAUCCAUAUCCAUUCUCAUGUUUGCGAGUAUGUUGUAUGGAUUGCUGUUUCUUGAAAAAUGGCAAACAUUUUCCCUAUUGAUUAUUUUCUGAUAAAUUAAUAAUAAAGAUAGCUUGCUUCAUGUUG
Molecule: long non-coding RNA, 1242 nt
Organism: Alligator mississippiensis (American alligator)
Lineage: Eukaryota; Metazoa; Chordata; Crocodylia; Alligatoridae
Exons: 5
Source: RefSeq, a predicted model, not a curated record